Molecule: long non-coding RNA, 594 nt
Organism: Cervus elaphus (red deer)
Lineage: Eukaryota; Metazoa; Chordata; Mammalia; Artiodactyla; Cervidae
Exons: 3
Source: RefSeq, a predicted model, not a curated record
UCUUACGUCUCUAUGGUGCCGACUCCAUGCUGUGGGCAAUAUUGAAAACGCACAUGUCACAAUCCCUGCCCUCAAGGAACUUACCAGACAGUUGGGAAUUGAGACCAAAAAAAUGAUAGAGAGCCACAAAGAUGGCACAGCCUCAAGACGUCCUGGUCACAUGUGUUUGAACACUUCUGACAAGCCAGGUGUGAGAUAAGCAAAAUGCAUAAGGUGAAAUUAAAUCUCCCUCUCAGUCUGGAAACCUCUGUGAAGAUCCUGCGUUAUUUACCAACCACAAGAGCUUUUCCUUGGCUGGGGCAUGUGAUCCUACUAGCACUUUUUUCCAGCUGCUCAAACAUACUUUGGCACAGUCACUCACUAGCUCCAAAUACCAGGAUUACUCCAUUCCUGUUCAGUGGUUCAGUGACUUGGCUCCCAGAGAAAAAGCAAAGGCAGUUUCAGAAAUCUACUAACUCCCCAAAUGGAACUAAAUAAUAGUCCCGACUUCAGGGUAUUAUUUGAAGGUGAAAGGAGAUGAUGUGUAGAAAGCAUUUAUGGUAUGUAUGUGCCUGGCACCUAGGGCAGUCUUGGUCAAGGUCAGCUCUUUUCCUU